GGCGGAGAAAUCCGCCGGCUGUAAUGCUACCACAUACACGGUGAGAGUUCCAAGUCUCUAUUAAAAGCAGAGGACAGC
Molecule: non-coding RNA, 78 nt
Filed under: unclassified sequences
Source: RNAcentral